RNAcentral lists this transfer RNA (68 nucleotides) under Heterocephalus glaber (naked mole-rat). It matches the Rfam family "tRNA". From Rfam's summary of the family: Transfer RNA (tRNA) molecules are approximately 80 nucleotides in length. Lineage: Eukaryota; Metazoa; Chordata; Mammalia; Rodentia; Bathyergidae. The record is from Rfam by way of RNAcentral.
GGAUAUGUAGCUCAGUGUUAGAGCACUUGGCAUGUGAGAGAUCCUGGGUUUGAUCCCCAGCACAUCAA